Molecule: ribosomal RNA, 497 nt
Filed under: uncultured bacterium
Lineage: Bacteria
Description: partial 16S ribosomal RNA
Rfam family: Bacterial small subunit ribosomal RNA
Source: RNAcentral
GACGAACGCUGGCGGCGUGCCUAAUACAUGCAAGUUGAGCGCUGAAGGUUGGUACUUGUACCAACUGGAUGAGCAGCGAACGGGUGAGUAACGCGUGGGGAAUCUGCCUUUGAGCGGGGGACAACAUUUGGAAACGAAUGCUAAUACCGCAUAAAAACUUUAAACACAAGUUUUAAGUUUGAAAGAUGCAAUUGCAUCACUCAAAGAUGAUCCCGCGUUGUAUUAGCUAGUUGGUGAGGUAAAGGCUCACCAAGGCGAUGAUACAUAGCCGACCUGAGAGGGUGAUCAGCCACAUUGGGACUGAGACAAGGCCCAAACUCCUACGGGAGGCAGCAGUAGGGAAUCUUCGGCAAGGGACGAAAGUCUGACCGAGCAACGCCGCGUGAGUGAAGAAGGUUUUCGGAUCGUAAAACUCUGUUGGUAGAGAAGAACGUUGGUGAGAGUGGAAAGCUCAUCAAGUGACGGUAACUACCCAGAAAGGGACGGCUAACUACGUG